CUCAAAAGUUUUGGCUUUCCUUCAUCCACAUCACCUUCAGCCACACCAACAAACUUUUCCCAUCCACACACUCCGAUUUAUGAAGGAAAUUUCCUCUCUCCCAUUCAAUUUCCUUUUCAUUCAAUUUCUUUGUUCCUCUGGUGAGUGAGUGAGAGUCGAGGAAUCGAUGAGAGGGAGGAGUGGGGCUGUUCGAGCUCGACGCCGGGCUGUCAAGGCUGCGACUGCCGGCGCUGCAUGCGUGGCAGCAGCCCGCCGGCCGCUCGCGGCCAAGGCAGACGGAGUCGGGGCACGGCGGCACGGCCGAAGGCCAGGCGCCGCUGACGCAGAGUGAACGGAGCAGCAGCAGCAGCAGCGACGGCCCUCCUUGGCCGUCCGCUGCCGAAAGCGCGAGAGAGAGGUGAGGGAGGACGGCGAGAAGUGAGGGGUGAAAGGGAGAUAAGA
RNAcentral lists this long non-coding RNA (441 nucleotides) under Salvia miltiorrhiza (redroot sage). Its description in RNAcentral is "long non-coding RNA (SMIL_LNC013701)". The record is from RNAcentral. Lineage: Eukaryota; Viridiplantae; Streptophyta; Magnoliopsida; Lamiales; Lamiaceae.